Molecule: ribosomal RNA, 450 nt
Filed under: uncultured bacterium
Lineage: Bacteria
Description: bacterial SSU rRNA
Rfam family: Bacterial small subunit ribosomal RNA
Source: RNAcentral
GUGGGGAAUUUUGGACAAUGGGGGCAACCCUGAUCCAGCCAUGCCGCGUGAGUGAAGAAGGCCUUCGGGUUGUAAAGCUCUUUCGGCCGGGAAGAAAUCGCAUGGGCUAAUACCCUGUGCGGAUGACGGUACCGGCAUAAGAAGCACCGGCUAACUACGUGCCAGCAGCCGCGGUAAUACGUAGGGUGCGGGCGUUAAUCGGAAUUACUGGGCGUAAAGCGUGCGCAGGCGGUUUUGUAAGACAGGCGUGAAAUCCCCGGGCUCAACCUGGGAACUGCGCUUGUGACUGCAAGGCUAGAGUAUGGCAGAGGGGGGUGGAAUUCCACGUGUAGCAGUGAAAUGCGUAGAUAUGCGGAGGAACACCGAUGGCGAAGGCAAUCCCCUGGGCCUGCACUGACGCUCAUGCACGAAAGCGUGGGGAGCAAACAGGAUUAGAAACCCCAGUAGUCC